RNAcentral lists this ribosomal RNA (496 nucleotides) under uncultured bacterium. RNAcentral describes it as "partial 16S ribosomal RNA". It matches the Rfam family "Bacterial small subunit ribosomal RNA", at positions 28 to 507 of the family's 1533-position model. The record is from RNAcentral.
GACGAACGCUGGCGGCGUGCCUAAUACAUGCAAGUUGAGCGCUGAAGGUUGGUACUUGUACCAACUGGAUGAGCAGCGAACGGGUGAGUAACGCGUGGGGAAUCUGCCUUUGAGCGGGGGACAACAUUUGGAAACGAAUGCUAAUACCGCAUAAAAACUUUAAACACAAGUUUUAAGUUUGAAAGAUGCAAUUGCAUCACUCAAAGAUGAUCCCGCGUUGUAUUAGCUAGUUGGUGAGGUAAAGGCUCACCAAGGCGAUGAUACAUAGCCGACCUGAGAGGUGGACAGCCACAUUGGGACUGAGACACGGCCCAAACUCCUACGGGAGGCAGCAGUAGGGAAUCUUCGGCAAUGGACGAAAGUCUGACCGAGCAACGCCGCGUGAGUGAAGAAGGGUUUCGGAUCGUAAAACUCUGUUGGUAGAGAAGAACGUUGGUGAGAGUGGAAAGCUCAUCAAGUGACGGUAACUACCCAGAAAGGGACGGCUAACUACGUG